GAUGAACGCUGGCGGCGUGCUUAACACAUGCAAGUCGAACGGGAUCCAAGGGGUGCUUGCACUUUUUGGUGAGAGUGGCGAACGGGUGAGUAACACGUGAGUAACCUGUCCUUUUCUUUGGGAUAAGCAUUCGAAAGGGUGUUUAAUACCUUAUGUUCUGUCUGCCUCGCAUGGGGUGGGUGGGAAAGGCUUUGGCCGGAUUUGGGUGGGCUCGCGGUCUAUCAGCUUGUUGGUGGGGUGAUGGCUUACCAAGGCUUUGACGGGUAGCCGGCCUGAGAGGGUGGUCGGUCACAUUGGGACUGAGAUACGGCCCAGACUCCUGCGGGAGGCAGCAGUGGGGGAUAUUGCACAAUGGGCGAAAGCCGGAUGCAGCGACGCCGCGUGGGGGAUGAAGGCCUUCGGGUUGUAAACUUCUUUUGCUCUGAACAAGGCAUGCCAGUGGGUGUGUUGAGUGUAGGGGUUGAUUAGCGCCGGCUAACUACGUG
RNAcentral lists this ribosomal RNA (485 nucleotides) under uncultured bacterium. RNAcentral's name for it is "partial 16S ribosomal RNA". It matches the Rfam family "Bacterial small subunit ribosomal RNA", at positions 28 to 507 of the family's 1533-position model. The record is from RNAcentral.